GUGGGUGUAGCUUAGCUGGUUAAAGCGCCAGAUUGUGGCUCUGGAGAUCGUGGGUUCGAAUCCCACCAUUCACCCCA
Molecule: transfer RNA, 77 nt
Filed under: Criibacterium bergeronii
Lineage: Bacteria; Bacillati; Bacillota; Clostridia; Peptostreptococcales; Filifactoraceae
Also listed under: 1 other name
Description: tRNA-His
Rfam family: tRNA
About the family: Transfer RNA (tRNA) molecules are approximately 80 nucleotides in length. Their secondary structure includes four short double-helical elements and three loops (D, anti-codon, and T loops).
Source: RNAcentral